This 21-nucleotide non-coding RNA is filed under the name Mus musculus (house mouse). Lineage: Eukaryota; Metazoa; Chordata; Mammalia; Rodentia; Muridae. The record is from RNAcentral.
UAAUGGGGAUCUGCGUGGUAC